Long non-coding RNA from Homo sapiens (human), 503 nucleotides. RefSeq lists it as uncharacterized. The record is from RefSeq and is a predicted model, not a curated record. NCBI's taxonomy places the organism in Eukaryota, Metazoa, Chordata, Mammalia, Primates, Hominidae. The transcript has 2 exons.
GGCUGCGCAGGAGGUCCCGGGGCUGCCCACUCACUGGUUGGCAUGGGCGUCUUGCCCGCGUGUCACACAGGGUCACUCGGCCGUGCAGGUGCAGAUGCUGGUUUCAUGCUGAGAACUUUACAUGGAUUGUUUCAUUUCAUCCUCACCGAACCCGUGAAGAAGACAAUACUUUUGCCCCCCACCACCCCUUUUUUAAAGAUGAGGAAACUGAGGCUCAAACUGAGGUUCAAAGAGCGUUGCCCAAGGUUCUGCAGGGAGCAGCCUGGCCCCAGCGCCCGCCCACACCCUUAAUCACUGGGUUCUAUAUCCUCCUGACAAGGGAGGAAUGACAGGCGAGGACAGGUUUGGCCGUGGUGUGUUUCAGAGCCUGGACUCUGGAGACUGAUGGUGUGUCCUGGUUGAAGUCCCCUAAACUCAGAGUCUUCUCUUGUUCUGUCAGCUGUACAGUGGGGGAAAUAAUACUUCAUAGGGUUGUUUGGAGGAAUAAAUAAGGUAAUAAAUGA